GGAGGAUCAUUAUCGUAGGGCUUCGGCCCUGUCGAGAUAGAACCCUUGCCUUUUUGAGUAUCUUUCGUUUCCUCGGCAGGCUCGCCUGCCAAUGGGGACCACAAAAAACACUUUGCAGUACCGGUAACAGUCUGAACAAACAAAACAAAAAUUAAAACUUUCAACAACGGAUCUCUUGGUUCUGGCAUCGAUGAAGAACGCAGCGAAAUGCGAUAAGUAGUGUGAAUUGCAGAAUUCAGUGAAUCAUCGAAUCUUUGAACGCACAUUGCGCCCUUUGGUAUUCCUUAGGGCAUGCCUGUUCGAGCGUCAUUUAAACCUUCAAGCUAAGCUUGGUGUUGGGUGACUGUCCGCUUCACUGCGGACUCGCCUCAAAAUUAUUGGCGGCCGGUACAUUGGCUUCGAGCGCAGCAGAAACGCGAACUCGGGCCCGUCGUAUUGGCUCCCAGAAGCUAUCUUCACAAUUUUGACCUCGGAUCAGGUAGGGAUACCCGCUGAACUUAAGCAUAUCAAUAAGCGGAGGA
RNAcentral lists this ribosomal RNA (521 nucleotides) under uncultured Pleosporales. Its description in RNAcentral is "eukaryotic LSU rRNA". The stretch from base 156 to 309 matches the Rfam family "5.8S ribosomal RNA". The record is from RNAcentral. Lineage: Eukaryota; Fungi; Ascomycota; Dothideomycetes; Pleosporales.